AUUGCACAAUGGGCGCAAGCCUGAUGCAGCGACGCCGCGUGAGGGAUGACGGCCUUCGGGUUGUAAACCUCUUUCAGCAGGGAAGAAGCCGUAAAACGUGACGGUACCUGCAGAAGAAGCACCGGCUAACUACGUGCCAGCAGCCGCGGUAAUACGUAGGGUGCGAGCGUUGUCCGGAAUUAUUGGGCGUAAAGAGCUCGUGGGCGGCCUGUCGCGUCGGAUGUGAAAGCCCGGGGCUUAACCCCGGGUUGGCAUUCGAUACGGGCAGGCUAGAGUUCGGUAGGGGAGAUCGGAAUUCCUGGUGUAGCGGUGAAAUGCGCAGAUAUCAGGAGGAACACCGGUGGCGAAGGCGGAUCUCUGGGCCGAUACUGACGCUGAGGAGCGAAAGCAUGGGGAGCGAACAG
RNAcentral lists this ribosomal RNA (404 nucleotides) under uncultured bacterium. RNAcentral's name for it is "bacterial SSU rRNA". It matches the Rfam family "Bacterial small subunit ribosomal RNA", at positions 363 to 775 of the family's 1533-position model. The record is from RNAcentral.